UCUUUAAUUUUCUCUUCCUCUUUCUUUCAUUUUAACCGCACGUUUUCCCCUCCCUUUGUUCCUUUGAGCGACCCCCUCCUUUUGCCCCUUCAUCCACUGCUUCUUUUUCUUUUAUCUUUGGGUUCUGUUGAAGAAUUGAGCAGCCCACCAUCAAUCUCUCUCUCUUGCGGAUCAACGCACUCACGCCAGCAAUUGUUUCUUUUAUUUCACUACGCCAGACCUCCAAUUGAACAGCCCACAUCUCGGUCAAAUUCUCCGCCGAGUGAAGCACUUGUUGACCAGUAACGCCACUUGAAGAAGCCACGUCUUCACCGGGUUCUACCGUCCACCGAAGCCACUUGGUGGUGUUUGUCCUCGGUUCGGUCAACUAGCAACAUCAACCGAAGAUGUUCCGCAAAGCCACCGAAGACUGAGGCAGCGUGCGCCAGCUCGCCAACCCACCAAGCUCCAUUGAGUGCAGCGCCUUCAGCUUCGAUCCCAAGGCCAGCGAAGCAAAUUGAAGACUCCACCGCCUUCUGCACCUCCACGCAUCCAUGGCCCGGCUCGUCUUGGUCAACAAUAGCAACCGCGAAGCCUCUGAUUGACCAAAGCCAGUGAAGCUGGAGCUCCACGCAUUUUCCUCAGCUCGUUCGUGACUCCAGCGAGCCUCCUCGAAGAAGCCCAGCCCGCGGCCUUCAUUCAGCCAUGCGAAGUUCUCUGAGGCCCAGCAUUGUGGGCCCAUCAUCGACAGCAACUCGGGCCCAAAUUUCAGUCUUCAAGCCCGCAGGAUUGAGCCCAGAAAUUUCAGCCUAGCUUGUAAUUUACUCAGCCCAUCUCUCUAGCAACUCCAUUGGGCCAAAAUCAACAAGUUCGGCCCAAGUCCGUCCCAUGAAGAGAGCCCAAUCGCAGCCAAGCCCAAGCCCAAGAGUGAGCCUAGUCCAAUGCAAGAACAAAUCUAAGUUGGGCUGAGAUUUGUUGGGCCAAGUUUAGGCCCAGUCCGAGUAUCUGCCGACGCCGCCGAAAAGUUGAAUUUCAGCCACCGUCGCGCCGUCGUCAUGGUGAUCCGGUCUCCGCUUUUAAUCAAGACCUAGAUGAGGAGCCUAAGGAGGAGGAAUUUGAUGAGGAGAACCUUGAUGAGGAACCCGAAGAGGAGUACGUGGAGGAGGACCCCGAGUACGAUCCGGAUGAGGACUGAGAUCCCGUCCUGUCUUGUCAGACCUUGUCUGCAUGUGAAUAGAUGUUAGAUUAGACUUGCGUUCAUAUAGUAUUGUAGAGUACUAUGAGAUGUGUGUAAAAAUGUGUGGUUGUGAAUUUUCAGUAUGAAAAAUACGGCCUGCUUUUCUA
This is a long non-coding RNA of Eucalyptus grandis, 1323 nucleotides long. RefSeq lists it as uncharacterized. The transcript is spliced from 2 exons. The record is from RefSeq and is a predicted model, not a curated record. Lineage: Eukaryota; Viridiplantae; Streptophyta; Magnoliopsida; Myrtales; Myrtaceae.